RNAcentral lists this ribosomal RNA (253 nucleotides) under uncultured bacterium. RNAcentral describes it as "partial 16S ribosomal RNA". It matches the Rfam family "Bacterial small subunit ribosomal RNA", at positions 524 to 776 of the family's 1533-position model. The record is from RNAcentral.
UACGUAGGGUGCAAGCGUUAAUCGGAAUUACUGGGCGUAAAGCGCGUGUAGGCGGCAGCGUGUGUCGGGCGUGAAAUCCCAUGGCUCAACCAUGGAAGUGCACCCGAAACUGCGCAGCUAGAGUCCUGGAGAGGAAGGUGGAAUACUUGGUGUAGAGGUGAAAUUCGUAGAUAUCAAGUGGAACACCGGUGGCGAAGGCGGCCUUCUGGACAGUGACUGACGCUGAGACGCGAAAGCGUGGGGAGCAAACAGG